RNAcentral lists this ribosomal RNA (253 nucleotides) under uncultured bacterium. RNAcentral describes it as "partial 16S ribosomal RNA". It matches the Rfam family "Bacterial small subunit ribosomal RNA", at positions 524 to 776 of the family's 1533-position model. The record is from RNAcentral.
AACGUAGGACACGAGCGUUAUCCGGAGUUACUGGGCGUAAAGGGCGUGCAGGCGGUUUUGUAAGUUUGAUGUGAAAGCGCCCGGCUUAACCGGGCGAGGACAUUGGAGACUGCAAGACUAGAGGCAGAUAGAGGGGUGUAGAAUUCCGGGUGUAGUGGUGAAAUGCGUAGAGAUCCGGAGGAAUACCAGAGGCGAAGGCGGCACCCUGGGUCUGACCUGACGCUGAGACGCGAAGGCGUGGGGAGCGAACGGG